GAAACUGACCUACCGAAUAUCCAG
Molecule: non-coding RNA, 24 nt
Filed under: Arabidopsis thaliana (thale cress)
Lineage: Eukaryota; Viridiplantae; Streptophyta; Magnoliopsida; Brassicales; Brassicaceae
Source: RNAcentral